This 201-nucleotide unclassified non-coding RNA is filed under the name uncultured Sebacina. Its description in RNAcentral is "sequence contains ITS2". Lineage: Eukaryota; Fungi; Basidiomycota; Agaricomycetes; Sebacinales; Sebacinaceae. The record is from RNAcentral.
UACUCUCACACUCUCCAAUUUUAGGAUUGGUAGUGGUGGACUUGGGUGUUGCUGCUUCACUGUGGCUCACCUCAAAUGCAUUAGUGCAACUCUUGACUGAACCAUAGUAUGGCAUGAUAAGUAUCUUUGCCAGCUCCUCUCACCAGGAUGGUCCAUCCAGAGCUCUGUGCUUCGAACUGUCUAUGGACAAUCUUUGACAAC